This 187-nucleotide small nuclear RNA is filed under the name Microtus ochrogaster (prairie vole). RNAcentral describes it as "U1 spliceosomal RNA (ENSMOCG00000006593.1)". The record is from RNAcentral. Lineage: Eukaryota; Metazoa; Chordata; Mammalia; Rodentia; Cricetidae.
AUUUCUGGGAGGAAAACUUGCCAGAUCCACAAGCAAGUGGAAGUUAAUGUGAUUGCAAAGGUGGUUUCUCAGGGAAAUGUUGGUCUAUCAUAUUCUAGAUAUACUGAUUCCUGUGGUUCCGCAAAUGUCAGAAAUUCAAUUCCAUAAUUUCUGAUUAGUAGGGGAGCUCCCUCUUGUUCUUCCCUAA